UGGACCAGUGAUGCUGACUGGUGACGGAUGAGGCCUGUGUGAUGGACAGUACCUGUCUGGAGCUUUGAGUUCCAA
Small nucleolar RNA from Oryctolagus cuniculus (rabbit), 75 nucleotides. Ensembl annotates it as small nucleolar RNA, C/D box 114-3. Lineage: Eukaryota; Metazoa; Chordata; Mammalia; Lagomorpha; Leporidae. The record is from Ensembl.